CCUACGGGUGGCAGCAGUCGAGAAUUUUUCUCAAUGGGGGAAACCCUGAAGGAGCGACGCCGCGUGGAGGAUGAAGGUUUUCGGAUUGUAAACUCCUGUCAUUGGUGAACAAGACACUGGGAAGUAACUAUUCUGGUGUUCGAUAGUAGCCGAAGAGGAAGGGACGGCUAACUCUGUGCCAGCAGCCGCGGUAAUACAGAGGUCCCGAGCGUUGUUCGGAUUCAUUGGGCGUAAAGGGUGCGUAGGCGGCGGGGUAAGUCUGAUGUGAAAGGCUG
RNAcentral lists this ribosomal RNA (275 nucleotides) under uncultured bacterium. Its description in RNAcentral is "partial 16S ribosomal RNA". It matches the Rfam family "Bacterial small subunit ribosomal RNA", at positions 338 to 604 of the family's 1533-position model. The record is from RNAcentral.